RNAcentral lists this ribosomal RNA (465 nucleotides) under Vreelandella stevensii. RNAcentral's name for it is "partial 16S ribosomal RNA". It matches the Rfam family "Bacterial small subunit ribosomal RNA", at positions 338 to 795 of the family's 1533-position model. The record is from RNAcentral. Lineage: Bacteria; Pseudomonadati; Pseudomonadota; Gammaproteobacteria; Oceanospirillales; Halomonadaceae.
CCUACGGGGGGCUGCAGUGGGGAAUAUUGGACAAUGGGGGCAACCCUGAUCCAGCCAUGCCGCGUGUGUGAAGAAGGCCCUCGGGUUGUAAAGCACUUUCAGUGAGGAAGAACGCCUGGUGGUUAAUACCCAUCAGGAAAGACAUCACUCACAGAAGAAGCACCGGCUAACUCCGUGCCAGCAGCCGCGGUAAUACGGAGGGCGCGAGCGUUAAUCGGAAUUACUGGGCGUAAAGCGCGCGUAGGUGGCUUGAUAAGCCGGUUGUGAAAGCCCCGGGCUCAACCUGGGAACGGCAUCCGGAACUGUCAAGCUAGAGUGCAGGAGAGGAAGGUAGAAUUCCCGGUGUAGCGGUGAAAUGCGUAGAGAUCGGGAGGAAUACCAGUGGCGAAGGCGGCCUUCUGGACUGACACUGACACUGAGGUGCGAAAGCGUGGGUAGCAAACAGGAUUAGAUACCCGUGUAGUC